AUGUUGUUCGGGCUCAGACCUGGACCUUCGUGGAACGAAGGAUCUGAAAGCAGCGGAGUGCGCCUUCGUCUCCCCGAACUUCUCGAUCACCGUCUCAACGGAAAUACCGAAAAGUUCAGAAGGCGAAACCUGAGCAUCGAGAAGAAAGCCUUUUCUUUCUUCCCGAUGUCUGCCAGGUUCAUCCACAGAUGUAACAGGCAUCAUCUGCAACGGGUGAGGUCUACAGGAUCUGAUUCUGUAGAGACUGACAUGGAUGGUUCCACACAUAUAUCAUUGCCACAACUCACACAGGAACAUUCUGCACCAGUCAGGAAUGCAGAGAGAGUUCCUUCAGACACUGUAUAUGUUCCUAAAACAACUUCGACUAACGUGAAUAUGCGUUUUGUGGCAUAUUCUCCUGAUAAGACCGAAAAGAACUUAAAUUACACUUUCAGUUUUGAUUAGACAGAUAAGAGCAAUACAUCAAUCGAAUCUGUAAAGGGUCUACUUUUAUUUGUAUACAUAAUUACAACAAAACUUUGUGCAUUUAUAAAAUAAAGAAAACAAACAGAUUGCGCUGUCUGCCACCUUGGUUCUGCGUGAUCUUUAUUUAGAAACGCGUAAUUAAAAUGAACUGUAACUCAGCAAAUACUCAACACAGAGACAUGAGAGAUAGAUCUAUAGAAAGCUUGACAUUACUUUUAAACUGAGCAAGUCUUAUUGAAAACAAAUAUUCUGUGAUAAAGUAAUCCAUAUGAAAACAGUGCAGUGUCCAGUCUUUCACGUCUCCCUUCAUUAUAUCUAAUGCGACCACGCCCACACGCCGAGCGCGCUAUUGAUAUUAUAAUCGUCUACGUGAAGCUCGUGGCGGGUAAACGCCCACUUCACAGCAAACAAAGCAGCGAGACUGUACUUCAUGUUUUUUAAAUGUUACUGUUUGCUUUGCACUGAGAGGAAUAAGACAUAAUUCACCUCAAUAAGACCGCUGAGAGGAGUAAGAUUUGGAUUACCUCAGAAAGAAGACUGAAGCGGCUUGACCCAGCAGAGAUCAUAAACAUAAGUCUUUUUUUAUUAUUUAUCUACUUGUAUUAGUUUUCAUAUAACUUGCACACAUUUUACUAGUUAGAAUUUUUCCAAAAUAUAAUUCCUGACUAAUCAAGUGAAACAUUGUGAAGUUUCAUUUG
Molecule: long non-coding RNA, 1163 nt
Organism: Cyprinus carpio carpio
Lineage: Eukaryota; Metazoa; Chordata; Actinopteri; Cypriniformes; Cyprinidae
Source: Ensembl